RNAcentral lists this ribosomal RNA (254 nucleotides) under uncultured bacterium. RNAcentral describes it as "partial 16S ribosomal RNA". It matches the Rfam family "Bacterial small subunit ribosomal RNA", at positions 524 to 777 of the family's 1533-position model. The record is from RNAcentral.
UACGGGGGGGGCAAGCGUUGUUCGGAAUUACUGGGCGUAAAGAGCGCGCAGGCGGUCGUUCAAGUCGCGUGUGAAAGCCCCCGGCUCAACUGGGGAGGGUCACGCGAUACUGAUCGACUCGAAGGCAGGAGAGGGAAGUGGAAUUCCCGGUGUAGUGGUGAAAUGCGUAGAUAUCGGGAGGAACACCAGUGGCGAAGGCGACUUCCUGGCCUGUUCUUGACGCUGAGGCGCGAAAGCUAGGGGAGCAAACGGGG